CCUAUAUUAAGAGAAUUUAGCUAUAGUUUUAAAUAAUAAUUUUUGGAGUCUUCUUAGCCCAAAAUUGAAACACAAAAGAUAUGGUCCAACCCAAUUACCCUUAACCCAUUCUUCCCAACCCAUUAGCCCAUUUAAGUUCAAAAUUUAAUCCUAACCAUCUAUUUUCCAUCUAAUCCAAUGGUCAUCAUCUCUUUCCAUCUCCGUAUAAAAUACUCAAUUAUAAAAACUCAACCCUAAGAUUUUCAAUACCAAGACCUAGCUAACACACAAGAACGGCAGCCAUCACCUUGACCCCUCAAUUCCCCAUAGCCAGAUACAAACGAGGCAUAGAAACAAAGCAAAAAAGAAAUGAGGAAAAACGUAACUUUCCGCUCUGCGAUUUUGGGAAAUCAUUGAUUCUUCUUCUUGGAAUUUCACCAAAGACCAACGACACACUUCCACCAAAGAAAGUGAGAAAUGGCCAGAAUUUCCGAAAAAUCUUCGGCCGUACCUACACCAAAUCUCCACGCCUCUGCCGCCGUUGGACUGCAAAGAAGUAUUGCCAGUAAGGUCGAAUCCCAAACUCCAGCACCACCGAACUCCAUAGCUGCUGAGCUCUAAUCAAUUUCAUUCUCUCGAAAACUCCAUUUACUAUUGAGUCGAGGUUGCCGACGAGUUCACUGCUCAAGCUAGUCCCUGUUUUCAUUUCCUAGUAGCAUCUAGCUCACCAAAAUUUGCAGUAAUUGAAUUUCGCUAUUUAAAAAGGAAAGCAGCUGAGAUCCAGGUGCUUCCGGUCACGGCGGCUGUUGAGUUGUGGAGUCGAGAUCUUUGGAGACUAUCGAGAUAGAUGCAUGACGUUCAGAGACCUUAACUCUCCUUCAUUAUCUUUACUUAUAUUUUAGUUUUACUCUUUAGACAUUAUAGUAGACUAUCUUCCGUUAUGGAUUCUCAUGUACUCGGUGACACCCCGAUUUUUUGGAGAGAUUUGUAUUGAGCUGCGAAUUUUAUUCUGCUUUUAA
Molecule: non-coding RNA, 998 nt
Organism: Nicotiana tabacum (common tobacco)
Lineage: Eukaryota; Viridiplantae; Streptophyta; Magnoliopsida; Solanales; Solanaceae
Source: RefSeq, a predicted model, not a curated record